UUUCUUUUGCACAGUCGAUCUAUUUCAUUCGGACUUUUGGAGUAGGUAACUAACUGCUGUAUAACUGCGAAAGUGCUGCGGUAACUGUAAAUGUAAUGCAGAACUUGAAAUGGGAACUUCCUGCGCAAAUCAAUUCUCAGUAUGGCUAUUUGUGCUGCUUCCCUCUUCUACUACAUCACUGUUUGGGAUGGUUUUUUUUUUAAAGAAAGCCACGGCACUAGGACACGAUCCAAGAGUGAACAAUUUCUGAAAAGAAACACGAACGACAAAAGGGCUCAAUAAGAACAAGUGUCACGAAUUUCCGAACGGGACUUACUAUUCUGGCCAGGCGAUAGAUAGAUGUGGAUGUCCUGCCCUGAGGUUACUACUGAAAAUGAACGAAAUGGAAUAAUUACACCGUUGAUGUGGAAUCUAAACACCUUUGAGCGAUUGAUUGGUUUACGAGACACUGAAAUGGAUGGAAUGCGAUGGAUGCGGUAGCACUCGUUAUACAACAAACUGAGUUUUAAACACGGUGUGGGUUAUUGGGUUAGGAAGGAAUCAAUCAAAUUCUGGUUUUAAGAAAAACACGGCACAACAGUUGGUUAAUGAAACUUUUAUUACUUCUCAUGGGGCAGAAUAACUGGAUUUAUAUAAACUUAAAUGGUAAAUGUUUCGUUGGCUUGUAUUACUAAUCUGGUAAUUAAAAAUCUAACUGAUUAUAAAUAAUUUUCAUGAUGUGAUAUUUUUGUGAAUUUCGCGAAUACUUAGGAGAUUUUUAUAACUUAAUAGUUGUAUAAAUAAGACGAUAAGCAAAUUGAUGGUGAAGUUUCAUAAAAACUUCAAGUAGUAUUUGUAAAAUGCAAAAUUUGUGGGGAAAAAGCAGGGCCGAAAUGCACAAUUUGUGGGACCAGCAGUUUUGAAUUACAUUUGAUGAGCCCCUGUUUGCCUAUUCAUAUGGGCAAAAAUAGGUAAGUACCAUCAGUGCACCAGUAUCCGUUCAUGCCCCUAUUUCCACUCUCUAGUGUAAACAUUGAUUUUUCGAGUCAAAAACCAACAUUUUUCCCACUGAUGUAUUCUAGCAAUAUUAAAAACUUUUAAAUGAAGUCAACUGACAUUAUUUUUGUUUGAUACAAUAAUUCUUUAAAUUGAAAACACAAGACCUCGUGAGCGGUUAUUGGGCCACUAGGUAUGUUUGUGUGUUCCAAUAAUCGCUCAUGCAAAAAAUUGAAUAAAAUGUUAAAUAAAUGACGAAUUUAGUAUAAAGCCUUCUUUAUUGCAGUAGUAGCUAUGAUUUGACCACAAAAAAUAUGAGGAUAAGUAACGAAAUUUGAAAUAAUGCAUUUUUAGUAAGUUCAUCACGAAAUCUGUUUACCGUGAGCGGAAAUAGGAACACUUACAUGCAGUAACAAAUGCAAUUAAAUAAUUUUUAUGAUAUUUUUUCAAAUUCUAUUUCUUUUGCCGCUGAAUAUCUAUACUUGGAGCUACAUUGUGACAUAAAAAUAGUAUUGAUCGACACAAUAGUUAUUUUAUAAUAAACAUUUGAACACAUAACUUCCCUUAAAUGAGCGGAAUCUGGUGCACUGAUGAUACCUAUCUUAGCUGAAAAGGUGUCAAGUCGGCUUUGUUGAUAACUCAAAGAAGUCUCAUUCCUCCCGGAAUAGGGUCCUAAAGCCCUGUCCCAAUUUUAGUGCCAAACGCUUAAGUUUAGGCCAAGAACCCAUGUUUACUCAAUUUUUUAAUGUUUUCCGGUAGUUUAAGUACAAAAAACAUUUUCUAUGUUUAUUUUAGAUAUUGUCACACCCCUUAGCUUUAACUCAAAUUUUGGGUGUACAGUCAUCUCUCCCUUACUCGAUAUUGAAGGGACCAUCGAGUUAGGGAGGUAUCGAGUUACAGAACACAAAAGCAGUGCAAGUGCGUUCCAAGGGACCAUCGAGUUAGCCAUGGAAUCCAACUUUUACUAUGGUUCUCUAACUCGAUAUCGAGAUACGAGAUAUCGAGUAAGGGAGAGUUAACUGUAUUUUGUUUUCCGUGUCCCUUCCGAAAUGUCAGAUAGGAACAACCCCGGUGUUAAAACUAAAACCCCUGUGGUGUUCUUGUCGACUAAGCGAACGUCAAACAUGAUCUUAAGUGUCAAGGUUCAUUUAUGGACCCAAUUUUUAAAUUAAAGUUUAAACAUGAUAUAGCCGUUAUUUGGGCGGGAAAAAUUGUUAAAGUAGUUGCAGUAAGGUGCUCUUUCGUGUUAUUGAAUAAAAACAAGAUUUCAUUAAAAAUUUUAGGACCCAAUUUAUUCAGUGAUUCUUCGAAAAUUUGCUCCAAGAUUUUUAUUUAAGAUUUCGUCAAGAAUUCCUCUGAAGAUACCUACCGGAAAUACAUCAAAGUACACUUCAGCAGUUCCCGAAAAAUUUCUCAAGGAAGUCUUCAAUUAUAUCAUUGACUCAUAAUCUUCUAAAAAUAAACCUGUAUGAGGACUACUUCAAGAAUUCAAUCAGUAAUUCCCUAUUGAUAUCUAACCGUAACGAUGAACUCGCAGCUAUUUAUCAAGACCAUACUGAGAAUCAUGGUUCGAAUACCGCCGGUUCAGUACAUAUUGAGACAGCGAAAGCUAGGCCUCACGAUCCUUUUGGUUUAGAGUUUUUAGCAAGAGGUGUCAGAAAAGUUACACAGGGAUAACUGGCUUGUGGCCGCCAAGCGUUCAUAGUGACGUGGCUUUUUAAUCCUUCGAUGUCGGCUCUUCCUAUCAUUGUGAAGCAAAAUUCACAAAGCGUAGGAUUGUUCACUUUUUCAAGGUAACGUGAGCUGGGUGGGUUUAGACCAUCGUGAGACAGGUUAAUUUUACCCUACUGGUGUGCGAACGAAACAUAACGCUAUCUUAACGGAAAUGCUGCUUCUAGUUAAGGAAAAUUUCUCGACUUCCCGCAAUUUUCCAAUGAAGCUUUCAAUGAUAUAGGUGUAAAGAAGUAAUUAUUGUUAAAAAUUCUGUAAAUUUUCUAAAGGAACUCCUUCAAAAUACCUGAUGAACUUUUGCAAGGAUACCUGAGAAAAAAAAUCGUUGAGGAUGUCUCGAUACAUUUUCUUCAAACAAUUGCUGGAAAAAUAUUGUACAAAUUGCC
This 3092-nucleotide ribosomal RNA is filed under the name Aedes aegypti (yellow fever mosquito). Its description in RNAcentral is "eukaryotic LSU rRNA". The stretch from base 2430 to 2818 matches the Rfam family "Eukaryotic large subunit ribosomal RNA", at positions 2403 to 2992 of the family's 3401-position model. The record is from RNAcentral. Lineage: Eukaryota; Metazoa; Arthropoda; Insecta; Diptera; Culicidae.